Molecule: long non-coding RNA, 863 nt
Organism: Equus asinus (donkey)
Lineage: Eukaryota; Metazoa; Chordata; Mammalia; Perissodactyla; Equidae
Source: Ensembl
GGUUACUUGAAGCCAGCGGGGAGAAUCUGGACAGAGAGAGUGGACUGCCAGACCUUAGGGAGAGAAUUCUUCUUCCAUGGAGAUGAGAAUCGGGACUGAGGACAGAGCUGGCUGGUUUUGAACAUAACUGCCAUUGUGUGGCCUGGAGGGACCUCGAGUGUCUUGUAUCCCACACAAUUCCACCUCUGAUAACCAAGGAACUCACUUUACAGCAAAAGAAGUAUAGUGCUGGGCUCUUGCUGACAAAAUUAGCUGAUAUUACUGUGUAACCCACCACUUGAAGCUUGACGGAACCACAGAAUGACCUUCUAAAGACCGCUGGGAAAUAACGUCCUAAAAGUUUGGGGCUCCUGUCCUACAGACUGUGGCUUUCUGCUACCGCGUGUGAAGGGUGUGUUACAAUUUAGGUCUCAAGUGAGAGUGUGACUGUAUUGACAUCUCCUUACCACGACAUGCCAGUUUAUGGGACUUUGUGUCUCAGUGAUGUUGGGGAUGAGAGUCCCUUCAUCUCAACGAAGGGCAAGGUGGAUGCAAAAGGGGUGGACCAUGCAGGUUACUCUCAGCAUCCCUCACCUUCCCUUCCCCCAAUCCACUCACUGUCCUUCUCUAGGCCCAGGGAGGCUGAGCCCUACAGACCACCUCACCCGGGCUCCCUUGCCCUCUGGUUUCUGGUUGGGUUUGGUCAAUGGAAGUUACUGGCAAAAGAUUAGAGAGUGAGAGGAGCAAAGUCAGAGAUUUCUUCCUCUCUCCCUCUUUGCUUCCGCACCACUGGCUUAGCUGUUCCAUGACUUUGGUUUCCGCCAGGCAGCUCCUCUGCCCUGAUUUCAGCUCUCGUUAGAUUCAGCAAAACCAUUUUCCUCCUC